CUAUAUAUAUAUAUAUAUAUAUAUAUAUAUAUUUUAUCAUCUUUCAACUUCCCCUUUUGAAGAGUACUUUGCACUUUUAGUCUUUUGCCCGGCCCCCUCAUCACAUUCUCAGAGAUGAAUGGGCCGACAAAGAAUAACCCUGCUUUAACAUAAUACCUCCUCUAGCUUUCUCUAAUUCUGACCUAUUUAGCUUAGUUUAGCUCAAAAACACACCCAAGCACGCAGGCAAAAGUCCAGAAAAGAAUUUCAGACAAAGAGGUAUAUUUGCGUGACGUUCUCUCGUAUCUCCAUCUGUAAACCCACAUCCUUGACUUGCUUCAAUUGAAAGGUAAAUAAACCUACGCGGAGUUACAUAUUCACCUUAGUUUGACUGCUGCAGGGGAAUUUGAGCUCAGUCAAAUUGCCUACUGAAGAAAAUCAUUGAAGGCGUAAAUCGAAGAACAAGUAAAUCCAUAAUUGCAGAGAUAUUUAUGCAUCCCGAUGGAGUAGUUUUUUGACAAUUUUAGAUCCAAUUUAGGUCCAAUUUUCUUUUUUGUUCAAUCUAAAUUCCAAAGAAACAUACAUUUGGAUUAAAAAAUAAAUAAAAAUGUAAACUCACAAUGUAACCAUUUCAAAAGACAAAUUCCGUUUUGAGUAACAGACCCGUUGACAAACUACACAAAACUACCGAGCUCUAACAUUCCCUCGGUUUGUGACUUAAGUUAAAACAAGAAUUUGUUCUUUCGUUUCCAAAGGUUGCUAUGGUGAGGUCACUUCCUGUCUGUCCAUCAAUGCCACUGGCAUCCUUCUCAAGCUUGUUUGGACUCUUAUCAUUAUAUAUAUAUAUAUAUAAAUACACAUGCACACAUAUAAAUUGAAUAAUUUACAUUUGCCUGAGCACCUUUUCCCUAUUUAAAAACAACUAAUAUUAUUAAUAUAUUAGAAAAAUGAUCGGUGGUUUAUGUUUCCCUUAGAAUUUUCUGGAAAACAUCUAUUAUGGAAGAGGCUGUUUUGGGCCCAACCCGACCUGUUGUUUUUCUAACAUAUACAAUAAAUAUCAGCCAUUUUUAAAUGGGAAAGAGAGGUGCUCAGGCAAAUGUAAAUUCUUCAAAAUGUAUAAUUGUGUAUAUAUAUAUAUUUAUAUAUAUAUAUUAUGCCAUAUCAGUGUUUCCCCCAGGUUCACAACUAUGGGGGGGCGGACGUACCGGAGGGUGCGUGAGCGUUGUGUCAGGACGCAUCACUGGGGGAAUGAAGCGGCAUACAGGAGGGAGGUGGCCAGUUUGGUGUCACGGUACGAGGAGAACAACCUCACCCUCAACACUGACAAGACCAAGAGGCUGAUGGUGGACAUGAGGAAGGAGAAGAGACCUCAUCGACCACUUUUCAUCCAGGAGCUUGAAGUUAAGAGGGUGAGCAGCUUCAAAUACCUCGGGGUCCACUUCAGCGAGGACCUCACCAGGACACUCGAUACAACGCAGCUGGUCAAGAAGGCUCAACGGCGGCUGUAGUAUUUCAAUACACAGUGUGUAAUUGACAAUAAAAAUCUUUGAAUCUAAAUGAUGUUGUUAUAUGAAAUUAGAACUAUGAAGUAUGAUACUAUAUUAGUCCUAUAUUAUGUUAUAUGAUAUUAUAAAUAUGACGUGUGUGUAUCAACUGGCCGCUAACUAGCUAACAUCAUGGCACGGAGGUGUUUUUUUUUUCAUCGCCCACCAUUCAACAACUCAAACGUGAAUUAAGAACCUUUUAAUAUGUCAAAGAACCAUUUAAUAUCCCAAAUAACG
Gasterosteus aculeatus aculeatus (three-spined stickleback) is the source of this 1760-nucleotide long non-coding RNA. The record is from Ensembl. NCBI's taxonomy places the organism in Eukaryota, Metazoa, Chordata, Actinopteri, Perciformes, Gasterosteidae.